AUUGAACGCUGGCGGCAGGCCUAACACAUGCAAGUCGAGCGCGAAAGUCUUCGGAUGAGUAAAGCGGCGAACGGGUGAGUAAUGCAUGGGAAUCUGCCUGGUAGUGGGGGACAACGUCUCGAAAGGGACGCUAAUACCGCAUACGCCCUACGGGGAAAGGGGGGGAUCUUCGGACCUCUCGCUAUCAGAUGAGCCCAUGUCAGAUUAGCUAGUUGGUGAGGUAAAGGCUCACCAAGGCGACGAUCUGUAACUGGUCUGAGAGGAUGAUCAGUCACACUGGAACUGAGACACGGUCCAGACUCCUACGGGAGGCAGCAGUGGGGAAUAUUGGACAAUGGGGGGCAACCCUGAUCCAGCCAUGCCGCGUGUGUGAAGAAGGCCCUAGGGUUGUAAAGCACUUUCAGUGGGGAGAAAGGUUAUUCACCUAAUACGUGAGUAGAUUGAUGUUACCCACAGAAGAAGCACCGGCUAACUCCGUGCCAGCAGCC
Molecule: ribosomal RNA, 488 nt
Filed under: uncultured bacterium
Lineage: Bacteria
Description: bacterial SSU rRNA
Rfam family: Bacterial small subunit ribosomal RNA
Source: RNAcentral